Molecule: transfer RNA, 86 nt
Filed under: Candidatus Ghiorseimicrobium undicola
Lineage: Bacteria; Pseudomonadati; Candidatus Omnitrophota
Description: Candidatus Omnitrophica bacterium CG11_big_fil_rev_8_21_14_0_20_42_13 tRNA-Ser
Rfam family: tRNA
About the family: Transfer RNA (tRNA) molecules are approximately 80 nucleotides in length.
Source: RNAcentral
GGAGGCGUCGCAUAGCUGGUUUAGUGCGCCGGUCUCGAAAACCGGUGUCUCGCAAGGGAUCGAAGGUUCGAAUCCUUCCGCCUCCG